GUUGGUGAACCAGCGGAGGGAU
RNAcentral lists this ribosomal RNA (22 nucleotides) under Fusarium merismoides var. merismoides. RNAcentral describes it as "partial 18S ribosomal RNA". Lineage: Eukaryota; Fungi; Ascomycota; Sordariomycetes; Hypocreales; Nectriaceae. RNAcentral also lists the same sequence under 11 other names. The record is from RNAcentral.